RNAcentral lists this long non-coding RNA (333 nucleotides) under Ananas comosus (pineapple). Its description in RNAcentral is "long non-coding RNA (ACOM_LNC020421)". Lineage: Eukaryota; Viridiplantae; Streptophyta; Magnoliopsida; Poales; Bromeliaceae. The record is from RNAcentral.
GAUCAACUUAUAUUAAAAUUCAACAGCUUAAUUUUUUUUUUUUUUUUUAGAGAUAGGUAGCAAGCUACCCGCUUCAUUUAUUUCAUUUAGAAAUAAACUUAGCUGAAAAUGUGAAUCAAUUAGGAUUCGAACUUGGGUCUCGGGUACCAACCACCAAGCCACUCAACCCUAGCGGGCCGCAUGCGCAAAAUGAGCAAACAAUUGCAUAAACCUGUACGGAGGACUCUCAACUAAUAAGAAAAAUAUUGUCUGUAUAUUUUAUAUCGGAGUGUGCAUCUUGCAUCUUUGGAUUUAAAAAUUAAUGCAAUCUUUUCAGGAUCUUACUAAAAAAAU